Molecule: ribosomal RNA, 564 nt
Filed under: Triticum aestivum (bread wheat)
Lineage: Eukaryota; Viridiplantae; Streptophyta; Magnoliopsida; Poales; Poaceae
Description: partial small subunit ribosomal RNA
Source: RNAcentral
AUGGCGCCGUCCGCCAGCUCCUCCUCCUCCGACGGCACGGACUCCACCGGUUCCUCCUCCUCAUCGGGGAGCGACCGCCGCGUCCGCCGCCGCCACAGCCGCCGCAAGGACGCCGCGCCGUCCACGUCCUCCUCCUCCGCGCUGAAGGUGCGCAAGGACCGCAAGUCCCGCCACAAGCGCCGCCGCCGGGAGAGGCGCAAGUCCCGUUCGGACGACGACAGCUACAGUAGCGCAAGCUCUUAUGAUAGUGACCGCGAGGCAUCUGGCAGAUCACGCAAGCAUAAGAAGAGCAGUAGAUCAAGGAAGUCUAGGGAAAGAGAGCGAAGCAAGGAUAGGCAUCAUAAACGGGACAAGAGUAAACACAGAGAGAAGAAAGAGAGUGAACGUUCUAGCGGUCCGGUCCAGCUUUCCAAGUUCCUUGGCCGUGAGAAGGAGGAAAGCGGCAAAAGGAGUGUUAUCUCUGGUAAAAAGAUAAUGAUGAAGCUCGAGAAAUCCAAGGAAGAUAAGGCGGCUGAGAGCAAGCGCAAUGAACUGUUGAAGUUUCUGAAUGCCAGUUAUGAUUGA